GAUUGAACGCUGGCGGUAUGCUUAACACAUGCAAGUCGAACGGAAACGAUACUAGCUUGCUAGUAGGCGUCGAGUGGCGGACGGGUGAGUAACGCGUAGGAAUCUGCCUGAUAGUGGGGGAUAGCCCGAAGAAAUUCGGAUUAAUACCGCAUAAUCUAUUCGUAGUAAAGUGGGGGACUUUCGAGCCUCACGCUAUCAGAUGAGCCUGCGUAAGAUUAGCUUGUUGGUAGGGUAAAAGCCUACCAAGGCGACGAUCUUUAGCUGGUCUGAGAGGAUGAUCAGCCACAUCGGGACUGAGACACGGCCCGAACUCCUACGGGAGGCAGCAGUGGGGAAUAUUGGACAAUGGGGGCAACCCUGAUCCAGCAAUACCGCGUGUGUGAAGAAGGCCUGAGGGUUGUAAAGCACUUUCAAUUGUGAAGAAAAGUUAGCGGUUAAUAACCGUUAGCCUUGACGUUAACUUUAGAAGAAGCACCGGCUAACUCCGUGCCAGCAGCCGCGGUAAUACGGAGGGUGCAAGCGUUAAUCGGAAUUACUGGGCGUAAAGCGUGCGUAGGCGGUUUAUUAAGUCAGAUGUGAAAGCCCCCGGGCUUAACCUGGGAACUGCAUUUGAAACUGGUCAACUAGAGUAUGGUAGAGGAAAGUGGAAUUUCUGGUGUAGCGGUGAAAUGCGUAGAUAUCAGAAGGAACAUCAAUGGCGAAGGCAGCUUUCUGGACCAAUACUGACGCUGAGGUACGAAAGCGUGGGUAGCAAACAGGAUUAGAUACCCUGGUAGUCCACGCCGUAAACGAUGAUAACUAGCCGUUGGGGGGAUUUACCCUUUAGUGGCGAAGCUAACGCGUUAAGUUAUCCGCCUGGGGAGUACGGCCGCAAGGUUAAAACUCAAAGGAAUUGACGGGGACCCGCACAAGCGGUGGAGCAUGUGGUUUAAUUCGAUGCAACGCGAAGAACCUUACCUGGUCUUGACAUCCUGCGAACUUUCUAGAAAUAGAUUGGUGCCUUCGGGAACGCAGUGACAGGUGCUGCAUGGCUGUCGUCAGCUCGUGUCGUGAGAUGUUGGGUUAAGUCCCGUAACGAGCGCAACCCCUAUCCUUAUUUGCCAGCACAUCAUGGUGGGAACUAUAAGGAGACUGCCGGUGAUAAACCGGAGGAAGGCGGGGACGACGUCAAGUCAUCAUGGCCCUUACGACCAGGGCUACACACGUGCUACAAUGGGAAGGACAAAGAGCCGCGAAGCCGCGAGGUGUAGCUAAUCUCAUAAACCUUUUCGUAGUCCGGAUUGGAGUCUGCAACUCGACUCCAUGAAGUCGGAAUCGCUAGUAAUCGUAGAUCAGAAUGCUACGGUGAAUACGUUCCCGGGUCUUGUACACACCGC
This 1376-nucleotide ribosomal RNA is filed under the name uncultured bacterium. RNAcentral describes it as "bacterial SSU rRNA". It matches the Rfam family "Bacterial small subunit ribosomal RNA", at positions 27 to 1393 of the family's 1533-position model. The record is from RNAcentral.